RNAcentral lists this transfer RNA (73 nucleotides) under Neobythites unimaculatus. RNAcentral describes it as "tRNA-Leu". It matches the Rfam family "tRNA". Rfam says of the family: Transfer RNA (tRNA) molecules are approximately 80 nucleotides in length. Their secondary structure includes four short double-helical elements and three loops (D, anti-codon, and T loops). Lineage: Eukaryota; Metazoa; Chordata; Actinopteri; Ophidiiformes; Ophidiidae. The record is from RNAcentral.
GUUAAGGUGGCAGAUCUGGAUAUUGCAAAAGCCCUAAAACCUUUAUAAAGGGGUUCAAGUCCCCUCCUUAACU